This 124-nucleotide microRNA precursor is filed under the name Hordeum vulgare. RNAcentral's name for it is "microRNA MIR1122". It matches the Rfam family "MIR1120/MIR1122 microRNA precursor family". Lineage: Eukaryota; Viridiplantae; Streptophyta; Magnoliopsida; Poales; Poaceae. The record is from RNAcentral.
UAAAUACUCCCUCCGUCCGGAAAUACUUGUCAUAAGGAUGGAUUUAUCUAGAUGUAUUUUAGUUCUAGAUACAUCUUUUUUAUCAAUUUGUGUGACAAGUAAUUCCGGACGAAGGAAGUACACU